Molecule: transfer RNA, 88 nt
Filed under: Litchfieldella qijiaojingensis
Lineage: Bacteria; Pseudomonadati; Pseudomonadota; Gammaproteobacteria; Oceanospirillales; Halomonadaceae
Description: Halomonas qijiaojingensis tRNA-Ser
Source: RNAcentral
GGCGAUGUCGUCGAGGGAGCGUCCGCUGGCCUGGAUCGCCUGGAUGGCGCCGAUAGCCAUUUCAUCGUUCUGGGCGAUGACGCCGUCG